ACCACCAAAAAAAGUCUGCAAUGCCCAACAUCUACAGCCAUACCUAUUCAAGAGUGAAUGUAUUGAGGAUCUAUCAAGUUUUAGCAUGGCCUGUGUAUUGCUCAUCUUUUAAAAAUGUAUUUCUGCUCUGGAACCAAUUCUGGCUCAUAUUCCCAGCAGAGAAAAACAGCAUUCCAGAAUCCAGCUAAGGCAGCAACUGCUCAGCAAAGGGAUGCCAAAGGGGGUUUGGACGGCCUAAAGUGUAAAAAGCAGGAAAUUAAUAAUUAAUAAUCCGUGGUCCCUGUGCACCAGGGGGUACCAGGAGGAGCAGGCCUGAGAGGUUAUUAGAAAGAUGCAGAAGAGACUGAUGGACUGGAAAAAGAGUCUCCUGUAGGAACCAGUGUAUAAUUCUCCCUUGUGAAGUGAUACUUCUAAUUGAAUAUCUCCUUCCAACUCCCUGGCAUGAGUGUAGCUUCUGGGCCUCAAUAUCAUCUCACAUCCAAAGACUGGGGGCAAUCUCAGAGGUGCUGAUGAGAUGUGCUCUCUACUCAGCCCUUCCAUACGGACUUGCUGCUGAUUCCUCACUCUUGGACAGAGGGAAUUAAGGCUUUGCUGCUAUGCUGGGCAACUCUGGCACCUACCAGAAGGUGCUGAUGGUGCACACAAUCCAUGCACUAGUGAGUGUCUUGCCUUGGAGAAGCAAGUGCUGCAUCUAGGUGAGCCUAGAAAGCUGCAAUUCUUUAAAACAUUGCAUUUGCCAUUGCUCUAUGAAUUGCUAUCCUAUGGGCAUUUUUGGAAGAUGCUCAUUGACCCUCUGGCAGGUUUAAUUUUUAGGA
Vidua macroura (Pin-tailed whydah) is the source of this 815-nucleotide long non-coding RNA. RefSeq lists it as uncharacterized. NCBI's taxonomy places the organism in Eukaryota, Metazoa, Chordata, Aves, Passeriformes, Viduidae. The record is from RefSeq and is a predicted model, not a curated record. The transcript has 4 exons.